GAGUUUGAUCCUGGCUCAGAAUCAACGCUGGCGGCGUGCCUAACACAUGCAAGUCGAGCGAGAAAAGGGGGGCAACUCCCUGAGUAAAGCGGCGCACGGGUGAGUAACACGUGGGUAAUCUGCCCUGGAGUGGGGAAUAACACCGGGAAACCGGUGCUAAUACCGCAUACGAUCACGAGGUCUGUGGAUUUUGUGAUGAAAGGAGCAAUUCGCUCUAGGAGGAGCCCGCGGCUGAUUAGCUAGUUGGUGAGGUAAUGGCUCACCAAGGCGACGAUCAGUAUCCGGUCUGAGAGGACGGUCGGACACACUGGAACUGAGACACGGUCCAGACUCCUACGGGAGGCAGCAGUGGGGAAUUUUUGGCAAUGGGGGCAACCCUGACCAAGCAGCGCCGCGUGGGUGAUGAAGUCUCUUGGGACGUAAAACCCUUUCGACGGGGAAGAAACCGCAAGGUUGACGGUACCCNAGAAGAA
RNAcentral lists this ribosomal RNA (473 nucleotides) under uncultured Acidobacteriota bacterium. Its description in RNAcentral is "bacterial SSU rRNA". It matches the Rfam family "Bacterial small subunit ribosomal RNA", at positions 9 to 489 of the family's 1533-position model. Lineage: Bacteria; Pseudomonadati; Acidobacteriota. The record is from RNAcentral.